UACGGGGGGGGCAAGCGUUGUUCGGAAUUACUGGGCGUAAAGGGCUCGUAGGCGGCCAACUAAGUCGGAUGUGAAAUCCCCAGGCUUAACCUGGGAACUGCAUCCGAUACUGGAUGGCUUGAAUCCGGGAGAGGGAUGCAGAAUUCCAGGUGUAGCGGUGAAAUGCGUAGAUAUCUGGAGGAACACCGGUGGCGAAGGCGGCAUCCUGGACCGACACUGACACUGAGGAGCGAAAGCCAGGGGAGCAAACGGG
This 253-nucleotide ribosomal RNA is filed under the name uncultured bacterium. RNAcentral describes it as "partial 16S ribosomal RNA". It matches the Rfam family "Bacterial small subunit ribosomal RNA", at positions 524 to 776 of the family's 1533-position model. The record is from RNAcentral.